RNAcentral lists this ribosomal RNA (440 nucleotides) under uncultured bacterium. Its description in RNAcentral is "partial 16S ribosomal RNA". It matches the Rfam family "Bacterial small subunit ribosomal RNA", at positions 338 to 795 of the family's 1533-position model. The record is from RNAcentral.
CCUACGGGUGGCAGCAGUGGGGAAUAUUGCACAAUGGGGGGAACCCUGAUGCAGCGACGCCGCGUGAGUGAAGAAGUAUUUCGGUAUGUAAAGCUCUAUCUGCAGGGGAGAAAAUGACGGUACCUGACUAAGAAGCCCCGGCUAACUACGUGCCAGCAGCCGCGGUAAUAAGUAGGGGGCCAGCGUUAUACGGAUUUACUGGGUGUAAAGGGAGCGUAGACGGGAGAGCAAGUCUGAAGUGAAAGCCUGGGGGCCAAACGCGGGACUGCGGUGGAAACUGCCCGGCUAGAGUGCGGGAGAGGUAGGCGGAAUGCGUAGUGUAGCGGUGAAAUGCGUAGAUAUUAGGAGGAACACCAGUUGCGAAGGCAGCUUACUGGACAGUAACUGACGUUGAGGCUCGAAAGCGUGGGGAGCGAACAGGAUUAGAUACCCGUGUAGUC